GACGGGAACCCGCACAAGCGGUGGAGUAUGUUGUUUAAUUCGAGGAUACACGAAGAACCUUACCAGGUCUUGACAUACCAUUGACCGGUCUAGAGAUAGACUUUUCGCUUUCGGGCGACAAUGGAUACAGGUGGUGCAUGGUUGUCGUCAGCUCGUGCCGUGAGGUGUUGGGUUAAGUCCCGCAACGAGCGCAACCCCUAUUGAUAGUUGCUAAUAUUAAGUUAAGGACUCUAUUGAGACUGCCAGCGACAAGCUGGAGGAAGUGGGGAUGACGUCAAAUCAUCAUGCCCUUUAUGACCUGGGCUACAAACGUACUACAAUGGCCAGAUACAAAGAGAUGCGAAGCCGCGAGGUGGAGCGAACCUCAUAAAAAUGGUCUCAGUUCGGAUUGGAGUCUGCAACUCGACUCCAUGAAGUCGGAAUCGCUAGUAAUCGUGGAUCAGAAUGCCACGGUGAAUACGUUCCCGGGCCUU
RNAcentral lists this ribosomal RNA (473 nucleotides) under uncultured Bacillota bacterium. RNAcentral's name for it is "bacterial SSU rRNA". It matches the Rfam family "Bacterial small subunit ribosomal RNA", at positions 912 to 1382 of the family's 1533-position model. The record is from RNAcentral. Lineage: Bacteria; Bacillati; Bacillota.